This is a long non-coding RNA of Bubalus bubalis (water buffalo), 2037 nucleotides long. RefSeq lists it as uncharacterized. The record is from RefSeq and is a predicted model, not a curated record. NCBI's taxonomy places the organism in Eukaryota, Metazoa, Chordata, Mammalia, Artiodactyla, Bovidae. The transcript is spliced from 3 exons.
GAAACUGACUGUGGGGGAAAUUGGUUCUUGUUCUGGUGGUCAGGCCAUGCUCAGCAAAUCUUUAAUCCUGUUUUCUGUUGGGCAGGGCUUGUUCCCUCCCUGUUGUUUGACCAAACUAUGGUGGAGGUAAUGAAAAUAAUGGUGACCUCCUUCAAAAUAUCCUGUGCAUGCACUGCAGCACUCAGUGGCCCCAACCCUGCAGCAGGCUAAUCGAUGCCUCCGCCGGAGAUUCCUGGAUACUCACAGGCAUUCUGGCUCUUUCACUUAACUCUGUGGACCAUGAGGAUGAAGACUGUCUUUUUUGAAUUGUAUACUCAGCACCUGGCUCAGUUCUUGACACCUAGUUCAGAAUAAAUUCUGUUCACAUAUGGAUUUGCUAUACUGGAGACAAUAUGUGGUAAUCUAUAGCUUUACUUUCCAACAUUAUUAUAUUCUGGUUUAUAAAAUGGUAGACUUUAUGUGACUGGAGAUCAACUAAAUGAAAUUCAACAAAUUUAAAACAAAGAUAGAAUUCUCUUAAUUAUAUUGUAGAAGACAUAGUAAUUAUUAGUAAUAGCAGGACUGUAAUGUAACUUUUCAGUUUUCAUUUAAAAGUGUAGAAAAAUUAGGAAUAUUGGACAGCUUCCCUAAAGAAUUAGUAUGGUCAUAUUUCCAGAAUUGAGUACUAUAUUUUAAGAUAAAAUAUUUAGAAUGAGACAAAGAAGAGAAGCAUUCCAGCUGUGAUUUUUAUGUCUCAUGUAGCUGUGGCCCACCUGCCCCAAGCAUCAGUGGUUCAAACAAUGGGCUUUCUUGGCUCUGUAAUAUAUUUGUUGGAAAAAGCUGAAGCAAUUAGCAGAGGCAAUUUCAAAUGAGAAGACUCAAGAGAACUAUGUCAGUGAGGCUAUUGAAUAAAACAUAUCUUUGGUUAUAUUUUCUGUAUAAUAUUAGCACAGUUAAAAGAACUUGCUCAGUUUUGCCUGGAGUGAGCUAUCUUUAGUCCCUCAAUCUCUAUUCCAAUAGUUAAUUAUCAUUAUUUAAUAUUUCCAUAACAAUAUAUGCUUUUUAACAUAAGUGCUUUCUAAAAAGUUUUUUAAGAAAUUUCUCUUCUCUGUGGUUGAUGAGGCAAAAGUUAAUUCACAUAAGAUUCACAGGAAAACAACAAAUUAUAUGGAUCCUAUGUCUCAGGUGGAAACCACCUGCAGUUAGCUUUGACACAAGUCAACAGAUUGCAGUUCAUGCUGAUUGAAGGGAAAGGUAACUAAUUUAUGGAAGGUCACCUCUUGGAGUGAGCCAAAAAUCCAACACAAACCUCUGUCCUUAUUCCCCAUGAUCUUGUGCCCCCCAAACAAUAUUAUAAAGAUUAGGAUCCAAUUGGCAAUAAAACUGUAAUGUGAACACAUACAAUUGAAUGUAGUAUUAAAACUGCCAGCUAUCACUAAUCUUUCUUAAUGUGCGGCAGCCAGGACACAAUGAGAAGUGAGAUCUGAUCCCCAAAGGUCCACCGACACCAGAGCCUUAGCUCCAGGAUUGAAUAAUGUCCUGUUGAGGAUUGACUUUCUGUUACCUGAGUCAGGUUAGAUUGUUAAAAGCAACAGACUGCGUCUCUGGUGGGAUUUCUAAUACAAAAUUGAAAUAGCAAUAAUCAACAUACAUACAUGCCAAUGGCUGUUUAAAAGUCAAGCUCAUUCAAUUAAAAAAAAAAGUCUCACAACUUAGAAAUGUGACUUAAAAAUCUCGAGGGCAAUUCCUUCCCACACUCACAACUAUUUGCUCUCCCCUAUCAACUUCUCUCUUUUAUCUUUACUUCUCAGAAGCUUUCAGGGUGCUAAGUAUUUCCUGAAUCAUACGCUCUCCCAAAAGACCUACUUUGGCUCUCUUUUUUCUCUCACUUUACAUCAGUAGGAAAGAUUUGCCUAUAUACAUAGGAUAAAUCUUUAAUCGCUUUCCUUUGCUUUUCACUUUAAUGAGAAACACUGGGAGACUAGGAAUUAUAUAGUGAUAUUCUAGCUGUUAUUUUCUCACUGAAAAAUACAAUUUUGGAAAUCAUUUAAUUUUUCU